Long non-coding RNA from Anguilla rostrata (American eel), 2115 nucleotides. RefSeq lists it as uncharacterized. Lineage: Eukaryota; Metazoa; Chordata; Actinopteri; Anguilliformes; Anguillidae. The record is from RefSeq and is a predicted model, not a curated record. The transcript is spliced from 5 exons.
UUGGCAGCCACCACUCCCCCCCUUCCUCACCCACGCACGAACUGAUGCUGUCUUUACUCACAGGGAAGAAAAGUGACUUACUUUUCGGAACAUCGCACAACAUCAGAUUAAUCAACCAGAUUAACUAGCUCUUAAUUUUUGUGAAAUUCAAACAUAUAGGUGGAGAUAAUGACAUGAACGGGUUGUGGUGAAGAGCUCAGUGACUUUCAACAGGGCGCUGUCAUAGGAUGCCACCUUUCCAACAAAAGAUGGAACUAAGAAAGGCGAGGUGGAGAAGAGGAAACGAGAACAGAGGAAUGCACUUGUGAAGAAUACCACAUCACUGGGUCAGACAUGGAGAGGCUGCAAAAGGGAGGGGCAAGGAAGGAGGGGGCAAGAUCAAUGGAUUAACAAAAGUGAGGUUAGCCCAGAAGAGGCCCUUCCUCUACCAAUCACACUACCCUUCUGUGACCACCAACCCCCCUCCCCCUACACACACACCACCGACCAAACCCACACUCUCAAUGGGAGAAACCUGUGGAAGUCCACCAACACUAAAAUUGAACUAUGUUAAAUGUUGAUGGCUUAACGCUUAAUAUCAAUGUCGUCCAAACACCAGUUUAAUUUUUGAAAACUGCAAAUGACAGAAUCAAUUAUGAUUACAUACAAGUGGACCACUUGUAUGUAAAAUAAGAGGAAAUAAGAGCUUCGACCUGACUGCGAAUGAGGAAAGGUAGGUAAGAGGGAUUUACGGUCAUAUUUAACCAUAUAUAUUAAUUAAAAAACGAUUCCAGAUGUAGCGUAGCUGCGCCUAAUCACGUGACUUUUUCAGGAUUUGUGCCUCUAGAAAUGCAAUGGCAAAGAAAAUGAAGCCACAGGCAGAGGUGGGUAACCCGGCUUCAAAGAGUAAAAAGACUGACUAUGUAUUUUCUCCACCACCAUGCGCUAAACCAGCUGAUUCUAAUUAGCAUGACUCUUCAGCAUGAUAGGAGAACUAAUUCUUGUAAUCAGCUGUAAUAGUGUAUAUUGUAAUAGUGCAUGUUGAUGGAGAAAAUACAUGGUCAGUCUUUUUACUCUUUGAAGCCGGGUUACCCACCUCUGGUCACAGGUGGAGUCGUGUGCCCCCGUUUUGAAAUGUGACUUACUGGCCAUCAAAAUCGAUUACUGAAUUUAUACAUUUUCUUUGUGUUUUUCACUUGAACAGUCUUUGGUCUCAAUCUCGCUAUUCCGUGAGCCAAAACUCGUGCAAACUCGGGUUAAUUAAUCAAACUAAAUUGUGACGUUUUUCACCGCAAAAAGAAAAAAGUUUGAACUAUUAUGAAUUAUUACCUGUACAAAAUGACCUGUGACCUGUUAUAAUUAUAGGCUAUUUUGGUGUUUUUAUGCGGAACUAUUUGAGGGAUGGGUAAACUUACUUGAACGAACGUUGAUUAACAUUAAGAUUGCGUGAUCUUGAGAUUUACACAGCUCAUAACAUCUUAUGAGUUAGCUAAAUCAAUCACCAUGACAUUCACAGAUUGAAAGUUUAAUGUUUCCUGUUUAAAAAGAGCUUAGGUUUUUGAAUGGUGUCCUAUUACUUAGAGAAGAGGGGCUUGCUGUCUCCAUAUCACAUGGGUUUAGGAAGGGAAGGGGAACAGUGGACCCUUUACUUUGCCUGGUGUCUGAGGUGAAGAAAGCUCAGGUGAAUAAAGAGGUGGUUGCAGCUGUGUUUUUUGUUUGUGUGGAGAAGGCCUAUGACAUAUGAUGUAGAAUAAACCUUUGGGGGAGGGAGGUAUAACUUGUUUUUCUGUUCAGUAGAUCUAUACAGGUGAGGGUGGGUUGUACAUUCUCUGAACAGUUUUUUAUUAUUAAGCCACAAGGGUACAGUCAUUACCCCUUUGUGAGACGGCUAGGUAGCGUCCAGGCUCAUGCGCUGCAGGUGAAGAUGGGGGAGAUGCCUCUCUGGCUUACAUGCACUUCUUGUGGGUGGGCCUGACAUUGCAUACAACCCUGUGCAACCAAGGCAUGGACUGUCACCAUUUUAGUGGUUGCCAUUGUUAAGGGCACAACUGUGCAGAGAAGGCUGUUGAUGCUCAAAAGGUUCAAAUCCUGCAUAGUGUACCUUUAAGGGAGAAUCAUGUAAAUAAAGGGUGGCGA